Molecule: RNase P RNA, 398 nt
Filed under: Thermogutta sp.
Lineage: Bacteria; Pseudomonadati; Planctomycetota; Planctomycetia; Pirellulales; Thermoguttaceae
Description: RNase P RNA component class A
Rfam family: Bacterial RNase P class A
About the family: Ribonuclease P (RNase P) is a ubiquitous endoribonuclease, found in archaea, bacteria and eukarya as well as chloroplasts and mitochondria. Its best characterised activity is the generation of mature 5'-ends of tRNAs by cleaving the 5'-leader elements of precursor-tRNAs.
Source: RNAcentral
GGAGCGGGCUGGAUGGCCGCCGGCCCGGUCUGUCGCCGGGCGGGAGGAAAGUCCGGGCUCCUCGGGAUCACGGUGGUGGGUAACACCCACCGGCCGAAAGGCCAGGGAAAGUGCCACAGAAACUAGACCGCCUCGCGGUGCCCACCGCGCGGUAAGGGUGAAAGGGUGAGGUAAGAGCUCACCAGCAGGCCGGGUGACCGGUCUGGCUAGGCAAACCCCACCGGGAGCAAGGUCAAGCAGGGGGGAGUGAGGCGCAAGCCUCCGCGGGUGAUCCCGACCGCCACCUUCAACCCCCGGGUAGACCGCUAGAGGGGCCGAGCAAUCGGCCUCCUAGAUAAAUGGCCAUCGCCCUGGAGAACACCAGGGUACAGAACCCGGCUUACAGGCCCGCCCUCGUG